This 70-nucleotide microRNA precursor is filed under the name Mustela putorius furo (domestic ferret). RNAcentral describes it as "miRNA (ENSMPUG00000020670.1)". The record is from RNAcentral. Lineage: Eukaryota; Metazoa; Chordata; Mammalia; Carnivora; Mustelidae.
AUCGUCCUGGUUGGCCUGGGACUGAGCCGUUUCCUGGGACACAGGACUUUCACGACUAAAACUGGUUCAG